AAGCGCUUAUGACCAGACUUGGGCGCGGUGAAUCAUCCAGCGUUUCGCGCUGGUGCACUUUGCCGUGUCCAGGCCAGCAUCAGUUCGCCUUGGGGGAUAAAGGCCCUGGGAAUGUGGCUCCUUCGGGAGUGUUAUAGCCCACUGCACAAUACCCUGGGGCGGACUGAGGUUCGCGCAUCUGCAAGGAUGCUGGCGUAAUGGUCAUCAGCGA
RNAcentral lists this ribosomal RNA (211 nucleotides) under Clavicipitaceae sp. Its description in RNAcentral is "partial large subunit ribosomal RNA". The record is from RNAcentral. Lineage: Eukaryota; Fungi; Ascomycota; Sordariomycetes; Hypocreales; Clavicipitaceae.